This 465-nucleotide ribosomal RNA is filed under the name uncultured bacterium. RNAcentral describes it as "partial 16S ribosomal RNA". It matches the Rfam family "Bacterial small subunit ribosomal RNA", at positions 28 to 507 of the family's 1533-position model. The record is from RNAcentral.
GACGAACGCUGGCGGCGUGCUUAACACAUGCAAGUCGAACGGAAAGGCCCCUUCGGGGGUACUCGAGUGGCGAACAGGUGCGUAACACGUGAGUAACCUGCCCUUGACUUCGGGAUAACUUCAGGAAACUGGGGCUAAUACCGGAUAGGAAUCCUUGCUGCAUGGUGGGGGUUGGAAAGCUUCAGCGGUUUUGGAUGGACUCGCGGCUUAUCAGCUUGUUGGUGGGGUAGUGGCUUACCAAGGCUUUGACGGGUAGCCGGCCUGAGAGGGCGACCGGCCACAUUGGGACUGAGAUACGGCCCAGACUCCUACGGGAGGCAGCAGUGGGGAAUAUUGCACAAUGGGCGGAAGCCUGAUGCAGCAACGCCGCGUGCGGGAUGACGGCCUUCGGGUUGUAAACCGCUUUCAGCAGGGGCGAAGCUUGUGGUGACGGUACCUGCAGAAGAAGCACCAGCUAACUACGUG